AUGCCCCGCUGCUGACUGGUGAGUCUGCUGCUUCUUCAGGGAAGGGGCUGGGUCCCUGCACCCUGCUAAGAGCCAAGCUUGGGAUGGACCCAUCCUUCCUCCCCAUCUCUGUCCCCCUGUCCUGCGCAUUGCCCUGCUGCACCCUGGCCCCCCACCCUAUACCCUCGCUUCCUUCCAUUGCUCCCUGUGGUUCCCUCCUUAUUCCACCCCCCGAUUCUUUCCAGUGCCCGGGCUUGGGCCCUUGCCCUUCCACUUUGCCCAGUCCUUAAUGACCACCGAGCGGCUCUCUGGGUCAGGCCUCCACUGGCCACUGAGCCGGACUCGCUCAGAGCCCCUGCCCCCCAGUGCCACCGCUCCCCCACCGCCGGGCCCCAUGCAGCCCCGCCUGGAGCAGCUCAAAACUCACGUCCAGGUGAUCAAGAGGUCAGCCAAGCCGAGUGAGAAGCCCCGGCUGCGGCAGAUACCCUCGGCUGAAGACCUGGAGACAGAUGGCGGGGGACCGGGCCAGGUGGUGGACGAUGGCCUGGAGCACAGGGAGCUGGGCCAUG
RNAcentral lists this long non-coding RNA (548 nucleotides) under Homo sapiens (human). RNAcentral's name for it is "non-protein coding lnc-RAPGEF3-2:2". The record is from RNAcentral. Lineage: Eukaryota; Metazoa; Chordata; Mammalia; Primates; Hominidae.